GACGAACGCUGGCGGCGUGCUUAACACAUGCAAGUCGAACGGAAAGGCCCUGCUUUUGUGGGGUUCUCGAGUGGCGAUCGGGUGAGUAACACGUGAGUAACCUGCCCUUGACUUUGGUAUAACUUCAGGAAACUGGGGCUAAUCUCGUAUAGGAGCUCCUGCUGCAUGGUGGGGGUUGGAUCGUUUCGGCGGUUGGGGAUGGACUCGCGGCUUAUCAGCUUGUUGGUGGGGUAGUGGCUUACCAAGGCUUUGACGGGUAGCCGGCCUGUGAGGGUGACCGGCGACAUGAGGACUAAGAGACGGCCCAGAGUCCUACGGGAGGCAGCAGGGGGGAAUAUUGCACAAUGAGCGGAAGCCUGAUGCAGAAACGCCGCGGGCGGGAUGACGGCCUUCGGGUUGUAAACCGCUGUAGCCUGAGACGAAGCGUGAGUGACGGUAAUGGAUAAAGAAGCACCGGCUAACUACGUG
RNAcentral lists this ribosomal RNA (468 nucleotides) under uncultured bacterium. RNAcentral describes it as "partial 16S ribosomal RNA". It matches the Rfam family "Bacterial small subunit ribosomal RNA", at positions 28 to 507 of the family's 1533-position model. The record is from RNAcentral.